This 343-nucleotide unclassified non-coding RNA is filed under the name Hevea brasiliensis (rubber tree). The record is from RNAcentral. Lineage: Eukaryota; Viridiplantae; Streptophyta; Magnoliopsida; Malpighiales; Euphorbiaceae.
GACAAAAGCAGCACCGCCACAAGGUAGAGUUGGUUGCGUGGUGUUGGCUCCAUGAAAAUGAAGGCUUUAAGCUGUGGUGUUUGGAGAAUAUAUAUAUAUGCAUAAAGCCAAGCAGAAUAAUGUUGACUCCAUGGUCAAAAGUCUCGAUUGAAAAUGGAAAAAUAUUUGCGUUAGAUCAAUGUAAAGAUAGGACAAAGACUAGAGAGAUUGGAGAAUAAUUUAGUGGAAUGGAAGCACCUAACUUUGUGGGGACUUUCCGGGAAAAACAAGGGAAUAAAGUAUAAGAAAAGUAGUUGUGGAAAAUUAUGCAAAGCUCAAUUGCUUUCUUGGGUCUUCACUGUGG